GAUGAACGCUGGCGGCGUGCCUAAUACAUGCGAGUCGAGCGAACAGACGAGGAGCUUGCUCCUCUGACGUUAGCGGCGGACGGGUGAGUAACACGUGGAUAACCUACCUAUAAGACUGGGAUAACUUCGGGAAACCGGAGCUAAUACCGGAUAAUAUAUUGAACCGCAUGGUUCAAUAGUGAAAGACGGUUUUGCUGUCACUUAUAGAUGGAUCCGCGCCGCAUUAGCUAGUUGGUAAGGUAACGGCUUACCAAGGCAACGAUGCGUAGCCGACCUGAGAGGGUGAUCGGCCACACUGGAACUGAGACACGGUCCAGACUCCUACGGGAGGCAGCAGUAGGGAAUCUUCCGCAAUGGGCGAAAGCCUGACGGAGCAACGCCGCGUGAGUGAUGAAGGUCUUCGGAUCGUAAAACUCUGUUAGUAGGGAAGAACAAAUGUGUAAGUAACUAUGCACGUCUUGACGGUACCUAAUCAGAAAGCCACGGCUAACUACGUG
This 497-nucleotide ribosomal RNA is filed under the name uncultured bacterium. RNAcentral's name for it is "partial 16S ribosomal RNA". It matches the Rfam family "Bacterial small subunit ribosomal RNA", at positions 28 to 507 of the family's 1533-position model. The record is from RNAcentral.